This 1336-nucleotide long non-coding RNA is filed under the name Erythranthe guttata (spotted monkey flower). Its description in RNAcentral is "long non-coding RNA (EGUT_LNC001929)". The record is from RNAcentral. Lineage: Eukaryota; Viridiplantae; Streptophyta; Magnoliopsida; Lamiales; Phrymaceae.
UUCUUCUUUGUUGGUGGAGCUCUGGUGAAGUCACGGCGGAGGAUAAAGAGCCCGAAUUUCAAUUGCGGCAACCUGCUCACGGCGCAAAUUGGUGAAGUUGUUUUUGUUACAGAUACGUGCACAACAAUAAAGAAGAAGAAACCUUAGCUGAGGAAAACAUAAGAUAAGUUUGAUUUGGUUAUUUUCAAUACCACAACUUUAGUCUAAAAUUAAUAACCAUGUGUAAUUAGUAAUGUAUACUCUCUGCAGGCUGAACACAGCCGCCUGUGGGACAAUGUUUGCGAUUUGCACAAAACAUACAAAUGGCUAAAAAAAAGGCUUCAGACAGAACCAACAACAGUCGAAUGCAUUUUACUGAAUUUUUUCGUGAAGAAUACAUAAUGAAAUAAUUUACGACUCCCGUCAUGUAACAGGGCACGGAGCACAUAGAAAGAUAAGGAAAAUUCAAAAAUUUUCUGUAAAUUAUAAGGCAAACUAAAGUUCUGAAUAUGAAAGCAUGUACCUCAAAGGCAAGUGUUAUUAGAGAUAUGGACUUUGUAAUCAUUUCGAAGCUGAUCUCAAGAAUAUAGGUUAUUUAGAAAUGCAGUAAGUAAAUCUGUAAGGCACAGUAAACAAGUAGUAGGUCAACGACAGGUUGCAUAUAAUAUAUACUGUUGAACAGUCGAGCAUAAAAUCUAAUCCCGUUGAAGUAAAAUCAUUUUGUACUUGGAAAAAAAACAUGGAAUCAUAAAUCUAUAAAAUAAGUUCUACAUUGCGAGGCACAGUGCGUAGAUAUAAUUCAAUCAACUUUUGUGCCACAGAAUCCUUCCAUUCCAGUCAAGCUCUGGUCAAUUGACAGCAACUGAAGUUCAUUUGUUCGUUAAAUUAGAACAAAAACAAUACAUAAUAUAGCUUGCAAUCUUCACCUUCUCAGUGUACAUCGGCAAGCCAUGAAGAAUACAGUAGAAUACAUGUAGCGGUUAUUUCAACGUCCACACAUUUACCAGCACAAUCUAAAGGCUUCAGACAGAAGGGAAAAAAAACGUAUUUGUAAAAAAAGAAAUACGAGUAAGAAACAAUUUGUGUUUAUUUUUGUGCAAAACUGAAACACCUAUUUUUACUUCACCUACAAAGAAGAAGGACCACUGUAGUUGUACAACGGAAGAACAUGUGCAAUACAAACCUUUUUCCUAAUCGUUUUUAAGGGUCGUCAAAAUCCAACUUAUUUAUCUUUCUGAAGGAGAAAUGGAUUUAAAAAAAAAAUUGGAAAUAUAAAAAAAAAAGGGUAAAUUACAACUGCCCCAGAAGUAAGGUCUAUUUAUAAAAAAAACCCUCAUUUUCCAAUAAUUACAUCCAU